RNAcentral lists this unclassified non-coding RNA (307 nucleotides) under uncultured fungus. Its description in RNAcentral is "partial contains 5.8S ribosomal RNA, internal transcribed spacer 2, and large subunit ribosomal RNA". The stretch from base 1 to 52 matches the Rfam family "5.8S ribosomal RNA", at positions 103 to 154 of the family's 154-position model. The record is from RNAcentral. Lineage: Eukaryota; Fungi.
AACGCACCUUGCGCUCCUUGGUAUUCCGAGGAGCAUGCCUGUUUGAGUGUCAUUAAAUUCUCAACUCCUCCAGCUUUUGUUAAGUUGGCUUUGGAGCUUGGAUUGUGGAGGUUUGCUGGCCCUUCUAUUGACUGGGUUCAGCUCCUCUGAAAUACAUUAGCGGAACCGUUUGCAAUCCGCCACAGGUGUGAUAAUUAUCUACGCCAGUGGGUUGCUCUCUGUGUUCGGCUGCCAAUCGUCUCUGCUUCAAGAGACAAUUUUCUGAAUGCUUGACCUCAAAUCAGGUAGGACUACCCGCUGAACUUAA